AAAAAUGUUUUGACUGAUAAGAAAAUUAUCUGUGAUAAUUGUUAAGGGUUAGGCAGAGUUUAACUGAACUUAAACUCGAGUAUUGUCCGACUAGAUCGUCGGGAUGAUAGAAUUGUGUCAGUUUUAAGUCAGACUGAAAUAGUUUGACCUGAUACUAAGUCUUAUGUGCUGUAUAGACUGAUAGGGUUAUGUGUUAUGUGUUUAGGUUAUUCUGUGUAUAUAAAUAUAACAGUAUUAUAUUGUGAUGAUAUUAUUCUAAUAUUGGAGAUCUAUAUUAUUAAUAUUAGGUUUUCGGAUAAAG
This 301-nucleotide long non-coding RNA is filed under the name Panax ginseng (ginseng). RNAcentral's name for it is "long non-coding RNA (PGIN_LNC002891)". The record is from RNAcentral. Lineage: Eukaryota; Viridiplantae; Streptophyta; Magnoliopsida; Apiales; Araliaceae.